RNAcentral lists this non-coding RNA (151 nucleotides) under Eubacterium maltosivorans. Lineage: Bacteria; Bacillati; Bacillota; Clostridia; Eubacteriales; Eubacteriaceae. The record is from RNAcentral.
UUGAGGUGCUUAGCAAUAAGAGAAUAGGGAAACCGGUGCGAAUCCGGUGCGAACCCAUCACUGUAAACAGGGACAAAGCCUGAAAGCCACUGGAGCGAUCCGGGAAGGCAGGCCGCGGACGAGCUGUAAGCCAGGAGACCUGCCUUAAAGA